UUUACUUUCAUCGAAAUACUACGGAUUCAUAUUACAUUAAAAACAAUUGAUUGAUGAAAAAGAAUUAAAGAAUUGCACCAAAUGAUUAAUUGCCUAAACUACAAAAACUAAUUGAAUAUCUUAUGUGGCAAAACGUGGACAGGUAAUGCAAGGACGUCUUCUUUCUAGGACAUGCUGCAUUCCGGAGGUAGACCUUGGGGAAAUCUGUUGACAUCUUUGCAGUAAUUGUAUACCAUGUAAUUCUCCCGGACCCAUUUCAACCUCUCCUGCCUUGUUGAAUCAAGCUCCUCUGAGAACCAAGCAUUCGAGGUGGAGGCCGGAGGAGAAGUGGUUGUGCCACAGGAAGAUACCCCAUUAGACAAAACACAAGCUUCGGCAUUGAAAUUUCUAUAAGAAGCGGUGAAAGGAGCUAGGGCCCAAUCUGUCUUGACCAAGCCACCUCUUGUAGCCCAGUCAUCAGCAUUCCAUAGACUCGAGUAAAUCCUCAUCGGCUGGUUUUUCGGAAAGGGAACCCCCAUGGACUCCAGGUUCUUGAACUCUCGAAUUGGAGUGCCAUCCACAGAGAAGCUGGAGCAGAGAAAAAGAAAACAACAUUAGUAACACAGCAUGUAUUAACGUUGUACACGGAGCAGGAUUGAAGAUUGAUGCUUACACAAUGCGCUGUGGGUUCCAAAGAAUGGAAUAUGUGUGGAAAUCAGCAGUUGGAUCAAACCAAAGAUAGAACUGCUGCUCUCUGUUGCCCUUGCCUUGGCUAAACACAUUAGUGUGCAGGAUGUAAGGAUCACCGCUCAAAUUCCCCAGGAAUUCAAAAUCUAUCUCAUCCCACGCAGACCCUUUUGAUGACAGCUGCGAAUUCAUAUGACAAAAAACAUAUUUUCUGUUAGUCACAUAUAAUGAUUGUUUCGUGCCUUGUUUGAGGCAAACAAUCAAGUUCACUUACAUAAUAAGCAGUGACAGUGCCUGCAGAGUUGCCGGGGACAAGCUUGAGCUGCAUGUCAAUCUUUCCGAACAGAUACUCAUUCCUGGAUUGAAAUCCAGAGCCAGAGGCCUUGUCAAGGUUGAGAGUGAGGAGCUCGCCGUCGCUGAGGAUCUUAGCACGACCAUCUCCCCAGGUAAUAUCAAAAUCGUUGUAGAAGUUGCUUGCUGAUGCAACCGUCACAAGAAGAGCUACAAGGGGCACAAGCACGGUAUUCAAAGAAGCCAUCGGCUAUAAUGAAACGAUUGAUACCAAGGAUGAAAUACAAGUAAAGUUCUGGAAGCUCGGAGGUGGGAUUGUCAAGGACAUAGCCUGGUUGGUAUUUAUACUUGAGGAAAUGCAAGUCCAAGAAAGGCAUGCGAAGUUUCGGACGCUCUGCUUAGCUGUGGACAGUGUGUUUGGGGGCUGGACAAGUGUAAGAAAGUCGCUGUUGAAAAAGACUAAACAUUUCACUUACAUCGACGAGCCAGCCAACGAAUCAUCGCACGCGUUUUGGCCUUCGGCACCGACGGAUAGCUGCGCUUUUCCAUUAGAUCCAGCGUCACAAUCAGUACAGGGCUCCCACACCUGACCCAUAUUUGCAUAAAAUAAAUAAAUAAAUAUACAAAAAUUGAAUCCAACAGCACAGGUCGACUCUCUCUCCUAAUUAAUUAAGGAGAUGUCAUUUCUAUCCUUGAGUAUUUUAGAUGUUUAUACCAGCUGUCUUCAGUUUUUGUUUAUUACAUUUCUAAAAAAAAAAGGCUAUAUUAUUUUUUGUUGAAAUAUUAAUCGAUUGUGAGAAAAAACGUUGUCUUUAUAGUUCUUUUACAUUCAAAUACUUAUUCAUUCUUGUUUUAAACUUAUGCCACUGAUAUUUAUUUAUGCUAUUGGAUUGGUUGAGAGAGCAUAUAUGCUUUUUAGUUUUUUAUUGUUUUUUUAAUUUGUAAUUGUUAUUUGGAACAAGAAUAAGAAGCAAAUAAAGUAAUUUGACUGCUGCAAUUUUUAUUUUAAAUUAUUAAGAUGAAAUAAUCCAAAUAAAAUAUUUCAAGCCUUAAAUGAUUGCUUGGAAUAAAUUUUAUAGAGUCUUUGCUUCUAAGAUUACUACCGAGGAAAUGAAAAUUGCUUUUCAAUAUUAAAAUUGUUUGAUGCAUGGUAAAAAACUGAUUAAAAAAGAUUUUUUAAUUAAUUUACUGAUAAUCCCCUCAAUUUUCUUUAGUUUUAAGAGAUAUCAAAAUUAUUUACUUGAAUUGAAAUAAUAUUUAUUUUACCUCAAUAAUCAACAAAUUUAUAGGAAUAAAUAUAUAGACACUUGAACUAAGUUAAUGACAUAUUAAUUUAUCUUCAGAAUUUUAAUUCUUUAAUUUUGCAUUCAAUUCAUCCCAUACUUUUGAUUUCAAUAGGAAGACUUAGUAAAUCUUUUCUUGAAUUUGAUAUGGUAUUCACAAUCAUACUAUAAUUUUUUUUUUUUUUUGUGAUAGUAAAGUCAAAAUAAAAUUUUUGAGGUUUUUGACACCAGCCAUGUGGACACAUUUCAUAUAUAUAUAAUUCAUAAAAAACAAAGAAAAAUUGAAAAUUAAGAUUUUUGAGAUUCAUAAAAAUUGAAAAAUAAAGAAAUAUUGAUCUAGCAUAAAAAAUAAAAUAAAAUUUCAGAACUUGUAUUUGUUAAUAUUUAUUUUAAUGAAAAAAAUUAAAAAAAAUAAUUUCAAAAUAUAAAACCCACCAUUUAUAAAAAGAAAAGAAGAAAAAGGGGUUAAGAAUAUAGAUAGAAAAGAAAAUAGAAGUUACCCUUUAUUAAAAGUAAACAGAAAAAGGAAAAUGAAAAUAAAAUAAAUAGAUAGAGGCGACUUAAAGUAUUAAUAUUUUCCUCUUUUAUGAAAAAUUAAUAUUUAAAACACUCCACUUUAUCUAAAGGAUUAUCUAUCUUCCCAUUCCAUUUUCAAUCAAAUAUUUUGUCUUAAAAUUCAUUGAGAACUCUUAGCAUUCUGAUUUUGAUUUAUUCUUGAAUUUAUCAGUUUGUUUUUAUUUUCUUUUAAAAGAUUUUGAUCAUAACAUUCUAUUAUUAUUACAGUCCUCAUUAAUGAAAAAAAAAUGAUGGAAUGAUGAUGAAUGAACUGCAUCAAGAAUAUUUCUCAAGUUAAGGGACCUAAUCAACUAAAAAAGAGAGAGAGAAAGGACACAUUAGUAUAUGAUUAAUCCAUAGCCCAAUUCUAGAUCAUUGAUAAAAUCAUUAAGCUAUUUAUCCUCAAUAAAUUCAUCCUACCAAUGUUCAACAUUUUAUUAUUCCCAACCAAGUAUCAAUAAUAGUGAUGUUUUUUUUCUUGAUAUUGCCCACGUAUCUGGAAAAAACAACUUAACUUAACGCCAAUUAAACACAACAUUAAAGGAAGAAAAAGGUUAAAAUAAAAUAAAAUUAUAGAAUAUUAUUACAAUCCAUAGUGUUUUUUUUUCUUUUUUAUUUUUAUUUUUUAAUUUAAUUUUAAUUGUAAUUGUUAGAAAAUGAGGUUUUGGUAUCAUAAUAGAAAUUGUUUUUUACUUGUUUUAUUGGUUUCUUGGGAAUUUUUUAUUUAAAAACAUGGUUUGUGCAUCACAUUUGAGUGAGGUCCACUAACUUUUUGGGUUAAAGCUUUGUUGGAAUUUAAUCUCUAAAUUUUUUAAUUUGAAACAUUAAAAUGAUUUAAACAAAUUAUGAGGAAAAAAAAAUUGAUAUCAAAUAACCAUUAAUUGAUAUAGUUUGGUGAAAUCCAAAAACUCUUUAAAAGAAUUCUAUCCCAUGUAAAAAAGAAAACAAAUUUUUUUUAAUGUUUAUAAAGCGAAAAGUUAAAGUUGAACAAAAAAAAGUAUCUAAAAUUUUAUAUGAGAGGGGUCAUAAUUAAAGUGAGUUUUGGGCUCAAACCCCACUCAUCUACACUUAUUUUAGGUUGAGCCUAAACCUAUGUUUGAAUUUAUUGUAAAAUAAUAUUUUGGAUCAUGAAAGAUUACUUUUUAUUAUUUAAAAUUUGAAAUUAGACUUGGUCCAUGAAUAAUUAUUUCUUUUUGCCCAUUGUUUUGUCAAUCCCUUGAAUGGAAAUAAUUGAUUAAUUUUUUUAUAACAAUUUUUCAGAAUUGGUAUAAAUCUUUUAGCUAAAAAAAAACCUGGUUUAAAUUAAAAAAACAUUUAGGUUUGAUUUUGGUUUAUUAUUGGUAAUAAAAAUUGUUAAUGAAGUAAGUUUAUCAAUUUUUAGUUUCUAAAAUUCUAUAUAAAAAAGGGGUUGAGGAAAAGUAUUUAAGGUUGAUUAAUUCUGUAUUGUUUAUAUAAAUUUAAAGGUCUUUUUUACCUUAUUUUCUAGCAUUAAUUACUGGUUUUAAACCUUUGUUUUUCCCUUCUAAAUUUUCUUCUAAUCCAGAGCUUAGGAGAAAACCAGGAAUACCUUUUACUUUCAUCGAAAUACUGCGGAUUCUUAUUACAUUAAAAACAAUUGAUUGGUGAAAAAGAAUUAAAGAAUUGCACCAAAUGAUUAAUUACAAAAACUAAUUGAAUAUCAUAUGUGGCAAAACUCGGACAGGUAAUGCAAGGACGUCUUUCUAGGACAUGCUGCAUUCCGGAGGUAGACCUUGGGGAAAUCUAUUGACAUCAUUGCAGUAAUUGUAAACCAUGUAAUUCUCCCGGACCCAUUUCAACCUCUCCUGCCUCGUUGAAUCAAGCUCCUCUGAGAACCAAGCAUUCGAGGUGGAGGCGGGAGGAGAAGUGGUUGUGCCACAGGAAGAUACCCCAUUAGACAAAACACAAGCUUCGGCAUUGAAAUUUCUAUAAGAAGCGGUGAAAGGAGCUAAGGCCCAAUCUGUCUUGACCAAGCCACCUCUUGUAGCCCAGUCA
This 4808-nucleotide long non-coding RNA is filed under the name Populus tremula. Its description in RNAcentral is "long non-coding RNA (PTRE_LNC001502)". Lineage: Eukaryota; Viridiplantae; Streptophyta; Magnoliopsida; Malpighiales; Salicaceae. The record is from RNAcentral.